GGUUUCUUGGUAUAAUAUAAGAAAUCUAGCCUGCCCAAUGAAUUUUAAAUGGCCGCGGUACUUUGACCGUGCGAAGGUAGCAUAAUCAAUUGUCUAUUAAUUGUAGACUGGAAUGAAUGGUUGGACUUAAAAUUAAUUGUCUUUAAUAUAAUUUGAACUUUGGGUUUUUAUGAGGAUUUAAAAGUGAAGCUAAUAGACGAGAAGACCCUAUUGAGCUUAAUAUUAAAAUUAUGUAAAUUUAUAGAGAUAYUAAUAAUUAAAAAUAUUUUACUGGGGCGGUAAAUAAUAAUAAUAACAUUAUAGUCUAUUAAAACUUAUAGGUGAUUUAUGAUCCAAUAUUAUUGAUUAAAAGAACAAGUUACUGUAGGGAUAACAGCGUAAUUUAAUUUAGGAGCUCAAAUCUAUAAUUAAGAUUGCGACCUCGAUGUUGGUUUAGGAUACCUUUAAAUAAAUUAAUGGUGCAGGCACUAUAAAAGGUAGUCUGUUCGACUAUUAAAUUCCUAUA
RNAcentral lists this ribosomal RNA (505 nucleotides) under Scolopocryptops melanostomus. RNAcentral describes it as "partial 16S ribosomal RNA". It matches the Rfam family "Bacterial large subunit ribosomal RNA", at positions 1829 to 2600 of the family's 2925-position model. The record is from RNAcentral. Lineage: Eukaryota; Metazoa; Arthropoda; Chilopoda; Scolopendromorpha; Cryptopidae.